GCCCAGGUGGCGAAAUUGGUAGACGCACUACCUUGAGGUGGUAGCAUCGCGAGAUAUGCUGGUUCAAAUCCAGUCCUGGGCACCA
RNAcentral lists this transfer RNA (85 nucleotides) under Bacteriovoracaceae bacterium. RNAcentral's name for it is "tRNA-Leu". It matches the Rfam family "tRNA". From Rfam's summary of the family: Transfer RNA (tRNA) molecules are approximately 80 nucleotides in length. The record is from RNAcentral. Lineage: Bacteria; Pseudomonadati; Bdellovibrionota; Bacteriovoracia; Bacteriovoracales; Bacteriovoracaceae.